AGUUGCCUGGAACUCUCCUCAGCUGGUUUAUAAAGGAGAAGGGUUUCUUCUUUGAGAGGAAGCUGAAUUAAGAGGGUAGAAUAUGAAGCCAACUUUGCCAAGUGCCCUUGAAAGGCCACUGGCUUCCUCGCCUGCUGCUGCACCUCCCAGGAGGCCUAGCGGAGUUGCUGGGAAAAACUCAGGUCCACACCACCCAAGCUGCAGCUCCGCCUUCACUUUUGGUUCAGAACUGCACCAGUGUUAUGUUGAUCCAGAGUUGUUUCUCUCUCUCUCUUUCAUUUUCUGAUCCUGACUACAGACCAAUAAAAAGGAAAUUUUACCAGAUGAUGCUUUUUUU
This 337-nucleotide long non-coding RNA is filed under the name Felis catus (domestic cat). Its description in RNAcentral is "lncRNA (ENSFCAG00000053693.1)". The record is from RNAcentral. Lineage: Eukaryota; Metazoa; Chordata; Mammalia; Carnivora; Felidae.